CGCGGAGUGGAGCAGUUGGCAGCUCGUCGGGCUCAUAACCCGAAGGUCGGAGGUUCGAGUCCUUCCUCCGCAACCA
RNAcentral lists this transfer RNA (76 nucleotides) under Peptostreptococcus equinus. Its description in RNAcentral is "Peptostreptococcus sp. CBA3647 tRNA-Met". It matches the Rfam family "tRNA". From Rfam's summary of the family: Transfer RNA (tRNA) molecules are approximately 80 nucleotides in length. Their secondary structure includes four short double-helical elements and three loops (D, anti-codon, and T loops). The record is from RNAcentral. Lineage: Bacteria; Bacillati; Bacillota; Clostridia; Peptostreptococcales; Peptostreptococcaceae.